GUGGAAUGGGAGAAGUGAGAGUU
RNAcentral lists this non-coding RNA (23 nucleotides) under Cricetulus griseus (Chinese hamster). Lineage: Eukaryota; Metazoa; Chordata; Mammalia; Rodentia; Cricetidae. The record is from RNAcentral.